AACUUCGAUGUUGGAUUAAAAGGACUAUUAGGAGUAGAAGCUUAAUAAGUUGGUUUGUUCAACCAUUAAAGUUUUACAUGAUCGGAGUUCAGACCGGCGUGAGCCAGGUCGGUUUAUAUCUAUUUUGGAGUGGGAUAUUUAUAGUACGAAAGGAAUUAAGUAUGAUAAUGAUUAGGAAGAGUUAUGAUGAAAAG
Molecule: ribosomal RNA, 194 nt
Filed under: opilioacarid SJD-2001
Lineage: Eukaryota; Metazoa; Arthropoda; Arachnida; Opilioacarida; Opilioacaridae
Description: partial 16S ribosomal RNA
Rfam family: Bacterial large subunit ribosomal RNA (bases 1-128)
Source: RNAcentral